Molecule: ribosomal RNA, 112 nt
Filed under: uncultured bacterium
Lineage: Bacteria
Description: partial 16S ribosomal RNA
Rfam family: Bacterial small subunit ribosomal RNA
Source: RNAcentral
UGUCGCGGUGAAUACGUUCCCGGGUCUUGUACACAACGCCCGUCAAACCAUGAAAGUGACCAACACCCGAAGUCCGAUUCGUCGGCCUAAGGUGGGGGGCAUGAUUGGGGUU